This 468-nucleotide ribosomal RNA is filed under the name uncultured bacterium. RNAcentral's name for it is "partial 16S ribosomal RNA". It matches the Rfam family "Bacterial small subunit ribosomal RNA", at positions 28 to 507 of the family's 1533-position model. The record is from RNAcentral.
GACGAACGCUGGCGGCGUGCUUAACACAUGCAAGUCGAACGGAAAGGCCCUGCUUUUGUGGGGUGCUCGAGUGGCGAACGGGUGAGUAACACGUGAGUAACCUGCCCUUGACUUUGGGAUAACUUCAGGAAACUGGGGCUAAUACCGGCUAGGAGCUCCUGCUGCAUGGUGGGGGUUGGAAAGUUUCGGCGGUUGGGGAUGGACUCGCGGCUUAUCAGCUUGUUGGGGGGGUAGUGGCUUACCAAGGCUUUGACGGGUAGCCGGCCUGGGAGGGUGACCGGCCACAUUGGGACUGAGAUACGGCCCAGACUCCUACGGGAGGCAGCAGUGGGGAAUAUUGCACAAUGGGCGGAAGCCUGAUGCAGCAACGCCGCGUGCGGGAUGACGGCCUUCGGGUUGUAAACCGCUUUCGCCUGUGACGAAGCGUGAGUGACGGUAAUGGGUAAAGAAGCACCGGCUAACUACGUG